AAUCAACGCUGGCGGCGCGCUUAACACAUGCAAGUCGAGCGAGAAAGGGGAGCAAUCCCUGAGUACAGCGGCGUACGGGUGAGUAACACGUGGGUGAUCUACCUUCUAGUGUGGAAUAACCCUGGGAAACCGGGGCUAAUACCGCAUAAGCCUGUGAAGGGAAAGCAGCAAUGCGCUGGAAGAGGAGCCCGCGGCCGAUUAGCUAGUUGGUGAGGUAACGGCCCACCAAGGCGAUGAUCGGUAGCCGGCCUGAGAGGGCACACGGCCACACUGGCACUGAAACACGGGCCAGACUCCUACGGGAGGCAGCAGUGGGGAAUCUUGCACAAUGGAGGCAACUCUGAUGCAGCGACGCCGCGUGAGCGAUGAAGCCC
RNAcentral lists this ribosomal RNA (374 nucleotides) under uncultured bacterium. RNAcentral's name for it is "bacterial SSU rRNA". It matches the Rfam family "Bacterial small subunit ribosomal RNA", at positions 29 to 416 of the family's 1533-position model. The record is from RNAcentral.